This is a small nuclear RNA of 109 nucleotides. Its record names the gene U5. It matches the Rfam family "U5 spliceosomal RNA". From Rfam's summary of the family: U5 RNA is a component of both types of known spliceosome. The record is from Ensembl.
ACUCCCAGGUUUCUCUUCGAAUCAGAUAAAUCUUUCGCCUUUUACUAAAGAUUUCGUGGAGAGACAAUGUGAGUUUCAAUAAUUUUGAUGCUCUGCCGUGGGUGGGGCU